Molecule: long non-coding RNA, 2190 nt
Filed under: Olea europaea subsp. europaea
Lineage: Eukaryota; Viridiplantae; Streptophyta; Magnoliopsida; Lamiales; Oleaceae
Source: RNAcentral
CAAAUUUCCAAAAUCAAAAUUUGAAAUACGAAUUAUACGAUUUAGGGAUGCUCUUCUCGACGUGCUGCGGUGCUCUCCUAUGUCUUCUCUGUUUGUUCAUCAUCGUCCGGUCACUCGACUCACUCCACAAUCUCCACAGGUCCACCUCCGCCCAGACCCUUCACCGGCCGCUUGAAAUUUGAAUCUUCAAUUCUUCAUAAGUCGGUUGAAGUCGAACACUCGAACUUCGAACUCGAAGUGUAAGUCGUGUGACUCUGCAGUAGCGCCUGCAGCCUACUCCACUGGACCGCUGCUUGUCGUCGCCCGUUGAGGACCUAUCACCUGCUGUAUAGUCUGUUUGGGGCCGCACAAUUUAGAUAAAAUUUCUGUAAGUUACAUGUACAUUAUUCACAAUUUCUGAUUAAUUCGUUUAUUUAUGUUUAGGCUUAUUAAUUUAUUAUAAUUACUUAAUUUUUUUAUUGAACAGUAUUUUAAACUUUAAAGCGGUAGGGGCGGAGGCCGGACCGGAGAGGCGGGAGAGCUUUCAACUUUGUUGGGACUUAGUUCCUGGCUCCUGCAGUCUGCAGGUUAGAAUUUAGCCUUCUUGUAUGUGUAAUCCAUUGGGCAAUUUAUGUUUGUUACUUGUUAGUUUGUAUUAUAGGUAACUCAAUAUUUAUCCAGUAGUAAGGGGUGAAGCCCAGCGCCCUAAAAUUGAAUGAGUCCCAGUGUCCCACCAAAAUGCUAGCUGCCAUUGCUUCAAAAUUCUAGACUAAUCUGAGCAAUUCCAAUUUGAUAUAUCAUUAUUAUCAUCGUUCGAAUAUCCUCAGGGCUUCACCACUGCUCCAUAUGUGGCCAAAAAUUUCCAUGUUUUUGUAAGUUCUAAUUUUUAAAAAAUUUUCCUUUUCACUUUUUGUAAGUAAGUAAUUUGGUGUUUCUUUUUCAAUAAUUAUUGGUUCUUAAGCAUUCCAGUUGUAGUUGUAUUGUUUGAUAAGAUAACCCAUGCUUUCUGUAGGAACAGCAAAUAAUUGCAUUUCUAGAUCAUAGGAAUGGGUCAUAAAUUAGUAAGUUGGCAGUGAAUUAGUGCCAGUGUAAUAUGUCUGAUAAUGUUUGUAUCUCAUCUUAAUUUGGGAAUCAGAACAAUGUAAUGAAAUUUAAACUAAUUCUUACAUAAGUCAAGUAAAAAUUGGGAGGUAAGGCUAUUGGACAAGGAACUUAGUUUGAUUGAUAUUAGUUACUAUCUGUCUGUGUUGUGCUGUAUGAGUUUUAGUGGACAUAUGUUUUGUCAAAUUGACUGAGUGUGGAUAAACCAGAUUUCAAAUGUCACUACAACCAGUUAGUUAGGCAUCUUGUAGUUUCGGAGACUUGGUCCGUUCAGAAUUUCAUUUUGGCAUUACAAUUAAACUAACUUCGUGUCCCCGGUUUAGCUGUGGUGUGUAAGUGUAAUAAGAUUGUGGUUUUUGCUUUGGCCCCAGUAGAAUUGUUUUAGAAAAUAUAUGACAGUGCCACUGAAAUAUUUUGGGAUCUAUUAAGUUGUUAAAAUGCAUCUUCUGAAUUCUAGAAAACCCAUAUUGCUUGAGGGUCUAGUUAGCUUAGCAAGGCUCAAGCUUUGUCCAAAAUGGAAUAUGUAUUACUGCUGAUGCAGAAACUUUUAUAAUGAACAAAUGGUUUAUCUUUUUCAAUUUUCAGAAUUCAUACAAUCAAAAGCGUUGCUAAAACGAAACUAAUAAGCACGCUUUUCCUCAACAUUUUGUAUGUAUUUCAUGAAUAAAAUCUAAAUUUUUCCUUUAUUUUUGCUCGAUGAAAUAAUCAAAUGGUGAAGGGUAUAUACAUAGGUGAGGAGGAGGAUGGGAUAUUACGUGCAUGUGAAGCUAUUUUACUGGAUUCUAACAGAACCAUUCACAUGGGAGUUGGGAGAAGAUAAGUUUGCAGAUAGUAGAUGAAGAGUUCAUGGAAAUUCUAAGAAAGUAACUAUGCUAUCAAUAAUUUAUGAGAAAAGUAAAUACUGCAUAAAUGAAAAUUAGUAUAUAUAAAUACCUUUGUUAUAUCUCAUGUAAUUCAUAACGUUAAUUUCCUUUUUUCUAAGAGAACUUGUGUAUAUUAUAAAAUGCAACUUGACAUAGUGGAUUUGGAGUCACUAAGGGUAAAGAGAAUGGGAUACAUUUUAGUGGUAACUGGCUGUUACUAGGAUGAAACUGAGGCAGUUGACUAGGA